GCUUGGCAUAGUGGUAUGUGCAUGUUGUCCCAACUACUGGGGAGUCUGAGGCAGGAGGUGAUGGAGGACAGUGGUUAUGGGCUAUAGUGCUCUAUGCCAAUGAGGUGUUUAGCAUCAAUAUGGUGACAUUCCAGGGGUGGUGGCCCAUGAUAUUCCUAAUGAGGGGUGAAUUGGCCCAGGUAGGAAAUGGAACAGGUCAAAAUUCCUGAGCUGAUUAGGAAUGGGAUCACACUUGUGAACAGCCACUGCACUCUGACCUGGGCAGCAUAGCAAGACCCUGUCUCUU
Otolemur garnettii (small-eared galago) is the source of this 286-nucleotide non-coding RNA. NCBI's taxonomy places the organism in Eukaryota, Metazoa, Chordata, Mammalia, Primates, Galagidae. The record is from Rfam.